UACGUAGGGGGCAAGCGUUGUCCGGAUUUAUUGGGCGUAAAGAGCGUGUAGGCGGCCGUACAGGUCAGCUGUGAAAACUCGAGGCUCAACCUCGAGACGUCGGUUGAAACCGUACGGCUAGAGUCCGGAAGAGGAGAGUGGAAUUCCCGGUGUAGCGGUGAAAUGCGCAGAUAUCGGGAAGAACACCCGUGGCGAAGGCGGCUCUCUGGGACGGUACUGACGCUGAUGCACGAAAGCGUGGGGAGCAAACAGG
Molecule: ribosomal RNA, 253 nt
Filed under: uncultured bacterium
Lineage: Bacteria
Description: partial 16S ribosomal RNA
Rfam family: Bacterial small subunit ribosomal RNA
Source: RNAcentral